RNAcentral lists this ribosomal RNA (579 nucleotides) under Triticum aestivum (bread wheat). RNAcentral's name for it is "partial small subunit ribosomal RNA". Lineage: Eukaryota; Viridiplantae; Streptophyta; Magnoliopsida; Poales; Poaceae. The record is from RNAcentral.
AUGAAGGGGAGGAAGAGGCAUCACGCCUUGUCCUGCUGCGUGCUGCUCACCGUUCUCGUCAUCCUGGGCAUCCUCUCCCUCGUGCUCUACAUCCUGUACCGCCCGCUCCCGCCGCGCGUGGUGACGUCGCCCGUGGAGACCACCGUCGAGGACUUCAGCCUCCUCCCGGCGUCGCUCACGCUGUCCGCGAGCGUGCACGUGAUGGCGAGCAACCCGAGCCGCGCGCCGUUCCGGUACGGGGAGACGGUGACGGCGGUGACGUACCACGGCGAACCCGUGGGGACGACGGUGGUGCCGGCCGGCAAGAUCGGCAGGCGGACGACGUCGUGGGUGGCGCCGGUGACGGAGGUGGACGGGUUCAAGGUGGCCGAGAGCCCGCACUUCGCCGGCGACGUGGUGGCCGGGGCGCUUCCGUUCGUGGUGGUGGUGAGGCUGGACGGGAAGGCGCUGGUGCUGCGCGCGUUUGAGGUGAGCGUGACCGUCGAGGUGGUGUGCUACGUCCAGGUCUACGUCCUCCAGGGGGACAGCAGCUCGAACUGCGUCUCGAGGGUCCGCACAGGGCCUGGACGUAAUUACUAG